RNAcentral lists this ribosomal RNA (460 nucleotides) under uncultured bacterium. RNAcentral describes it as "partial 16S ribosomal RNA". It matches the Rfam family "Bacterial small subunit ribosomal RNA", at positions 338 to 795 of the family's 1533-position model. The record is from RNAcentral.
CCUACGGGUGGCAGCAGUGAGGAAUAUUGGUCAAUGGCCGGAAGGCUUAACCAGCCAUGCCGCGUGAAGGUCAGUGCCCUAUGGGCGUUAAACUUCUUUUGUGCGGGAGCAAUAAUGGUCACGUGUGGCCAGACUAGAGUACCGUACGAAUAAGCAUCGGCUAACUCCGUGCCAGCAGCCGCGGUAAUACAGGGGAUGCCAGCGUUAUCCGGCUUUAUUGGGUGUAAAGGGUGCGUAGGCUGGGAGGUAAGUCAGCGGUGAAAUGCCCCCGCUCAACGGGGUGAAGUGCCCUUGAGACUGGCGAGCUGGAAUGCGGAUGCCGUGGGAUGAAUGUGUGGUGUAGCUGUGAAAUGCAUAGAGAUCACACAGAACACCGAUUGCGAAGGAAUCUCACGAAUCCGCGAUUGACGCUGAUGCACGAAAGCGUGGGUAUCAAACAGGAUUAGAUACCCUAGUAGUC